GCCCUGCCAUAAACUUCGAUGUACAAACACAAUAAACAUCCGCCAGGGGACUACGAGCGCCAGCUUAAAACCCAAAGGACUUGGCGGUGCUUCAGACCCCCCUAGAGGAGCCUGUUCUAGAACCGAUAACCCCCGUUUAACCUCACCACUUCUAGCCCCUCCCCGCCUAUAUACCGCCGUCGUCAGCUUACCCUGUGAAGGCACCAUAGUAAGCAAAAUGGGUAAACCCCAAAACGUCAGGUCGAGGUGUAGCACACGAAGUGGAAAGAAAUGGGCUACAUUAUCUGAAACAGAUCACUAACGAACGGUCCCGUGAAACAAAAGACCCAAAGGAGGAUUUAGCAGUAAAGAAGGAGUAGAGCGCCCUCUUGAAGCCGGCCCUGAAGCGCGCACACACCGCCCGUCACUCUCCCCGACAACCAAAUUAAACCAAGAUAACCUAACAAAACAACAACAAUAAAGGGGAGGCAAGUCGUAACAUGGUAAGUGUACCGGAAGGUGCACUUGGAACAAC
RNAcentral lists this ribosomal RNA (514 nucleotides) under Pellona castelnaeana (Amazon pellona). RNAcentral's name for it is "partial 12S ribosomal RNA". It matches the Rfam family "Bacterial small subunit ribosomal RNA", at positions 794 to 1527 of the family's 1533-position model. Lineage: Eukaryota; Metazoa; Chordata; Actinopteri; Clupeiformes; Pristigasteridae. The record is from RNAcentral.